GUACACGCUGUGACUAGCAUAUCAAUAAGCGGAGGAAAAGAAACUAACAAGGAUUCCCUUAGUAACGGCGAGUGAAGCGGGAAGAGCUCAAAUUUGAAAUCUUGAAAGGUCACCUUUCACGAAUUGUAGUUUAAAGAAGUGUUUUCUGUUACGAUCGUAAUAUAAGUUCUUUGGAAUAGGACAUCACAGAGGGUGAGAAUCCCGUCUAUGAUUGCGAUUUGUAGCUUUGUGAUACACUUUCAAAGAGUCGGGUUGUUUGGGAAUGCAGCCCAAAACGGGAGGUAAAUUUCUUCUAAGGCUAAAUAUUGGCGAGAGACCGAUAGCGAACAAGUACCGUGAGGGAAAGAUGAAAAGAACUUUGAAAAGAGAGUUAAAUAGUACGUGAAAUUGUCAAAAGGGAAGCGUUUAACACCAGUGUUGUUUUCUGAAAAUCAACCUCUGUUAGCUUUAUGCAUGUUUGUUUAGACCUAAUCAGCUAUCUUUCAUGUUCUAUUGUUUGCAGUGGUGCACUUUUCAGUUUACAGGUCAACAUCAGUUUUUUUUACCGUAAAAAGUUAAAGAAAGGUAGCUCAUGGCUCCGGUCGUGAGUGUUAUAGUCUUUUUCCUAUGCGGUAGGAGAGACUGAGGUCUGCAGUGUAGGCUAUUUGGCUAGAUACUCAGGUGCUAUGUGAUACCAUUUCAUAAACAACUUGUUGAUUAUGUUUUGUCUAUUGCAUACUCGCUUGUACUAUCAUACCUACGCUUAGGAUGUUGAGUAGCGACAUACGCAC
This 770-nucleotide ribosomal RNA is filed under the name uncultured Neocallimastigales. RNAcentral's name for it is "partial large subunit ribosomal RNA". The stretch from base 4 to 660 matches the Rfam family "Eukaryotic large subunit ribosomal RNA", at positions 24 to 664 of the family's 3401-position model. The record is from RNAcentral. Lineage: Eukaryota; Fungi; Neocallimastigomycota; Neocallimastigomycetes; Neocallimastigales.